This 478-nucleotide ribosomal RNA is filed under the name uncultured bacterium. RNAcentral describes it as "partial 16S ribosomal RNA". It matches the Rfam family "Bacterial small subunit ribosomal RNA", at positions 28 to 523 of the family's 1533-position model. The record is from RNAcentral.
GACGAACGCUGGCGGCGUGCUUAACACAUGCAAGUCGAACGGUAAGGCCCUUCGGGGUACACGAGUGGCGAACGGGUGAGUAACACGUGGGUGAUCUGCCCUGCACUUCGGGAUAAGCCUGGGAAACUGGGUCUAAUACCGGAUAGGACCACUGCCUGCAUGGGUGGUGGUGGAAUGCUUUUGCGGUGGGGGAUGGGCCCGCGGCCUAUCAGCUUGUUGGUGGGGGGAUGGCCUACCAAGGCGACGACGGGGAGCCGGCCUGGGAGGGUGACCGGGCCCGCUGGGACGGAGAUACGGCCCAGACUCCUACGGGAGGCGGCAGUGGGGAAUAUUGCACAAUGGGCGCAAGCCUGAUGCAGCGACGCCGCGUGAGGGAUGACGGCCUUCGGGUUGUAAACCUCUUUCAGCACCGACGAAGCGCAAGUGACGGUAGGUGCAGAAGAAGGACCGGCCGACUACGUGCCAGCAGCCGCCGUAA